GCCCCCAUCGUCUAGCGGCCCAGGACAUCUCUCUUUCAAGGAGGUGACGGGGAUUCGAAUUCCCCUGGGGGUA
This 73-nucleotide transfer RNA is filed under the name Fossombronia foveolata. Its description in RNAcentral is "tRNA-Glu". It matches the Rfam family "tRNA". Rfam says of the family: Transfer RNA (tRNA) molecules are approximately 80 nucleotides in length. Their secondary structure includes four short double-helical elements and three loops (D, anti-codon, and T loops). Lineage: Eukaryota; Viridiplantae; Streptophyta; Jungermanniopsida; Fossombroniales; Fossombroniaceae. The record is from RNAcentral. RNAcentral also lists the same sequence under 1 other name.